RNAcentral lists this unclassified non-coding RNA (1984 nucleotides) under Helianthus agrestis. RNAcentral's name for it is "partial external transcribed spacer". Lineage: Eukaryota; Viridiplantae; Streptophyta; Magnoliopsida; Asterales; Asteraceae. The record is from RNAcentral.
CUUUUUGUGCAUAAUGUAUAUAUAGGGGGGUGGUAGUACUCUUGGGGUAGACAGGCAUGUGCUGGGAUGGCAUGCCAAGGCAUGUUCUGGGAUGGCAUGCCAAGGACAAGCAUGUGCUGGCAAGGCAAGCACAUGCAUCGCGAGGGAGAUGAGACCGUUACGAUUACCCCAAGAGUGCCCAAGGAAAAGGAAAGAGGUGUCAAACGCAUGCUGAGCCCCACUUCGGUAGUUUGGCACCCCCAAGCAUGUGCUGGUAAGGCAUGCCAAGGCAAGCACAUGCAUCGCGAGGGAGAUGAGACGGUUACGAUUGCCCCAAGAGUGCCCAAGGGAGAGGAAAGAGGUGUCAAUCGCAUGCUGCUUGCCAUGCAUCGCGAGGGAGUGAGACGGUUACGAUUGCCCCAAGAGUGCCCAAGGGAGCGGAAAGAGGUGUCAAACGCAUACUGAGCCCCACUUCGGUGCUGGCAAGGCAUGCCAAGGCAAGCACUUGCAUCGCAAGGGAAAUGAGACGGUUACGAUUGCCCCAGGAGUGGCCAAGGGAGAGGAAAGAGGUGUCAAACGUGCAUUGCGAGGGAAAUGAAGAGGAUACGAUUGCCUCAAGAGUGCCCAAGGGAGAGGAAAGAAGGUGUCAAACGCAUGCUGAGCCCCCUCUUUGGUAAUUUGGCCCCCCCCAUAGGCAUUUAGGCAAGCGUGCCUAUGGGAAAAGUCGGUUGAGCUUGUCAGCCAUGUUGGGUAUUAGCUGGACGAGAUGAUUGCACAAGGAUUCUUGCUUUAAGGUAACGUUCCGGCAGCACAGCCAGCCCGCAAUUGCUAGUUCAAGCGGGUGGAAUCUGCCUAUAGGGGCGUUGCUUGCUUGUUGUGGAGUUGGGACACGCCCAAUAUCUCUCAUUGCCCGUUUUUCCUGCGUGGCCCCAUAGCCAUUCAGGCAAGCGUGCCUAUGGGUAAAGUUGCUCGAGCUUGCCAACCCCCAUGUUAAGCUGUAGUCUGGACCGCUGAUGGCACAAGGAUGCAUGUUUUAAGGCAACAUUCCAGCAGCACAGCCAGCCCGUAAUUGCUAGUUCAAGCGGGUGGAAUCUGCUUAUAGGGGUGUUCCUUGCUUGCUGUGGAUUUGGGACACGCCCAAUAUCUAUCAUCGAUCCAACGAAGUUCUCAAUGUGGGUUGCUGAGGGCUAUUUUAGCAUGACGGUUCACUUGUUUGCUUGGCUUUGAAAAAUGUUUAGAUGUCAUGAUGCUUGGGAUCCAAUAAAUUUAUGUGGGAAGCUAAGAGCUGGAACCCAAUGUCAUUCACCAGACGGCUUAGCUUCGUCAGUGUGUAUAAUAUGUCAUUGAACCCCAAUCCUCGAUGCCAACCUGAUUAUGACUUUUGGAUCGCAAUUACCAUGGUUAUCGAAAACUGAGUAGGAGUCAUUAAAUAGGUGAACAAUUUGUAGUCUUUAAUAGCUGUCGGCUUUCGCAUCGCCCGGUGUGUUUUGGGAAUCGCUUUAUGCAAUUGGUUGCCUGCCGUGCCUCUUGGCAUACACGGUGGGUGCCACUUGCUGGUGGUUUUCGGAAACAUCCACCGUAAAGGUGCAUGAGUGGUAUUUGGUUUGUUACGGGUGGUUGGCUCUUUGCUUGCGCAACAACUGCCACCCGACUUACCUCUUCAGAUGUUUGCCUAGGCUUGUAUAGCCUAAGCAAAUUGUGGGUUUCCUGUGUUGCCUACCUAUGUUAUGGAAUUGUCUCGAUCGAUCAAAGCUGCUUUCGUCUUGUGUCAUUUCGAUGGCAUAAGAUGAACCAUGAAGCUAUCCCUUUGCACCACAUCAUUAAUGCAUGUGUUGAUGUUGUGGCCCAUUGAGCAUUGCUUGGUACCAUGGAUACGGAACCUUAUGUGGGCAUGGGUCCUUGGGGAUCCUUGUUCUGCCCUCGGUUAGCGUUCGCGCUUCUCUUAGAAUGACUGCCCAGCUGGAAUGGGAAGCCAUUUUGGAUGGGCAUCGUCAAAGAGGAAUGC